RNAcentral lists this ribosomal RNA (448 nucleotides) under uncultured bacterium. RNAcentral describes it as "bacterial SSU rRNA". It matches the Rfam family "Bacterial small subunit ribosomal RNA", at positions 64 to 507 of the family's 1533-position model. The record is from RNAcentral.
GAGCGGAUGACGGGAGCUUGCUCCUUGAUUCAGCGGCGGACGGGUGAGUAAUGCCUAGGAAUCUGCCUGGUAGUGGGGGACAACGUUUCGAAAGGAACGCUAAUACCGCAUACGUCCUACGGGAGAAAGCAGGGGACCUUUGGGCCUUGCGCUAUCAGAUGAGCCUAGGUCGGAUUAGCUAGUUGGUGGGGUAAUGACUCACCAAGGCGACGAUCCGUAACUGGUCUGAGAGGAUGAUCAGUCACACUGGAACUGAGACACGGUCCAGACUCCUACGGGAGGCAGCAGUGGGGAAUAUUGGACAAUGGGCGAAAGCCUGAUCCAGCCAUGCCGCGUGUGUGAAGAAGGUCUUCGGAUUGUAAAGCACUUUAAGUUGGGAGGAAGGGCAGUAAGUUAAUACCUUGCUGUUUUGACGUUACCGACAGAAUAAGCACCGGCUAACUCUGUG